CGACAAUGGACUGGUGACGUAUUUCGAUCUUCAAAUUAUCUAACUCCGCCCAUAAAUUUGGACUGAUGACAUGUCUGACGUAGGGAUAAGGCGUGUCUGGUGGUGCCGGAGCGAGGUGCCGGGCGGCGCUCCGCUACUUUUCCCCGUCCCUGGAGAGUGAGCGCCGGCCAACAGGCCGGGCACCGUCAAGUCGGGCCUCACCGGAGGUCCUUCUUCCCGUUCCUGGAGCGGUUAUACCUGAACAUAGCAGAGCUGCUGCGAAUCUGAGGAACUUCAUCAGAUCCUUUACAUUCCAAAAAACAAGCUGAGGCAAUAUGUGCACCCGGUCCUGCAUAUCUUGGGUUCUGAGAAUGUUGUCAGCUCAUCAACUCAAUAAGUGGCGUGGGUCUGGAAUAAGUGCCCCAACUUUUCUUAACCUGGUGUAAGUGACUGAGGUUUUCUGUUUCUCUCUAAGGCUAUAACAUCUGUGCAUUAUCGAUGCAGUAAUAUUGAGAAACCGACCAAUGUCGUGCCAACCGGUUGUAAUAUUGGCAAACUGCGCCAACUAUGUGUAACAAUGGAAAUCAUGACCCUUUCAUACUGCUUUAUUACAAGUUACGUUACACUGUGUCACUAUUCAACCUAUAGUACCUCUAUUCUUCAGUUCAUUAUACAUACUGCUUCCAGUA
Long non-coding RNA from Triticum aestivum (bread wheat), 668 nucleotides. RefSeq lists it as uncharacterized. The transcript is spliced from 2 exons. The record is from RefSeq and is a predicted model, not a curated record. Lineage: Eukaryota; Viridiplantae; Streptophyta; Magnoliopsida; Poales; Poaceae.